Molecule: transfer RNA, 58 nt
Filed under: Tropidocephala brunnipennis
Lineage: Eukaryota; Metazoa; Arthropoda; Insecta; Hemiptera; Delphacidae
Description: tRNA-Ser
Source: RNAcentral
AAGAGAAUAUAAAGAAGCUGCUAACUAUCUUAUAUACAUUAAAUUUGUAAUUCUCUUA